GCUCCCGAAGGAACCCUGCUUUGCUUGGAGGGGAGGAAAUGAACUGACGGGCGCUGGCUGCUGGCGUUCGAGCACCGGCUGUGGCUCAGUCGAAAAGGGCGCGGUUCUUGCCAGUUCACCUCCUCCAAAGCAGGUGACAAAAAAACAAAAAUCAACCAGCUGAUGGAGGGACACUGAUACCUACACAACAACCAUGAACAAUACUAGACAGACACACACUACCAUGUUGACACCACUUAGCAUUCAGCUGGUGUCUGGACGCACCCACCCCACCAUGGUGCCCUCUUGCGUCAUAAUCUAUGAGGACACCCCAAAUACACCUGUUUGUCCUGGACCGCAAUAUGGGUCAUCGAAUCUUCUUUCUGGUCUCGCCUAGUGAUGGCCUUGAUGUCGGAGCUGGGAUUGCCUAGCUGUAGCACCAGUCCUGCAAUGGUACCGACCCUGCUUGUCGUCUACCCUAUUUCCUGUCCGUCCGUCUGAUGGAUGUUGUUGGUCAACGCUAAAACAAGGUGGACAUCUAUGAUGGAGCAAGGGCCCCCACGUACCUUUUACUGAAACCUUCCUGGCCUAUGGAAGUUUUGUGUCAGGUAGCUGUCUGUCCGUCCGUCUAAGUCAAGCGUAUUGUCCUGUUUUAUGUAUGGGAAAAGGGCUCUGAUAGAGGGUACCUUUGGCGUUGUCGGCUGACCAACGCUGUGCUGUUAUCGCCUGGUUGGCUGAUGUUCCAACGUCGGGACAGUGGAGGUGGAGUUUUGGGUUUUUUAAGUAUUUACUUUCUUCGUUUUAUCUUAUUUAUUUACAGAUAACUUUAUUUUCCUUUCUUUUCAGGUUAAUGUUUUUUUUUCUCUUUUCAGGUAUCGUUUUCUUUUCAGGUGUUUAGUGUUUUCUUCCCUUACAGGUUUUUACGUUCCUGUCUUUUUCUUUAUUUAUUUCCACUUGGGUCUCACUCCACCUCCGGUAAGCUUGCUGUCCAUAACCAAAAAGAACGCUUCAUCUUGGGGACUCUAGCCAGCUUGGCUUUGGUUGGUCUCCAUCAUGAAGUUGGUCUUCCAGCCGGCACCAACAAAACAUAUGGGGGCAGCCAUAAUGACAGGUUGGUGUCAGCUGGUUGUCUCCCUCUCCCUGAUGAGGGCCAACCAUAGCCAGUAGGUGUCGCUGGAGUAAGGCAAGUCACAACCAGGUGGCGCUGUAGCGCCAUUAUUCGGCGCACACCACAAACCCAACCACCCUGCCGAUAUUCCUAUCAAAGGAUGGGAGGGAAAAAGUGCGGUUCCCACUGGAUUCCUGUUAUCUGCAAUCCCUAUCUUUACGGCGCUGUCGAAACGGAAAAUCG
This is a long non-coding RNA of Stomoxys calcitrans (stable fly), 1330 nucleotides long. RefSeq lists it as uncharacterized. The record is from RefSeq and is a predicted model, not a curated record. Lineage: Eukaryota; Metazoa; Arthropoda; Insecta; Diptera; Muscidae. The transcript is spliced from 4 exons.